This 132-nucleotide ribosomal RNA is filed under the name Propithecus coquereli (Coquerel's sifaka). Lineage: Eukaryota; Metazoa; Chordata; Mammalia; Primates; Indriidae. The record is from RNAcentral.
AUCUAUGGCCAUACCACCCUGAACCUGCCCAAUCCCGUCUGAUCUCAGAAACUAAGCAGGGUCAGGCCUGGUUAGUACUUGGAUGGGAGAAAAAGACUGCUUCCCUACAGACGCUUUCAUGUGUCAGAAAAU